GGGCAUCUUCAUCUCUCUUCUCAUUAAAUCCAAAGGAAGAAUGGGUGCAUACUGACACGUAAGCAAUGGAAACUUAAAAAGUGACCAUAUCACCGACGAACCAGAUCUUCCAAAUCUUCCACGUCAGCAUAUAGUUCAACCACAAGUUACCAACCAUUGCUAAACUGCAUCUCCAUGCCAAGACAUGUGAACGUGCCACCAAGAUGGCAGCCCCACGUUGUUUUGUGUUAGCCACGUGAUGCUUUUUUCCCUCCC
RNAcentral lists this long non-coding RNA (255 nucleotides) under Vigna radiata. RNAcentral describes it as "long non-coding RNA (VRAD_LNC011587)". The record is from RNAcentral. Lineage: Eukaryota; Viridiplantae; Streptophyta; Magnoliopsida; Fabales; Fabaceae.